RNAcentral lists this ribosomal RNA (306 nucleotides) under uncultured bacterium. RNAcentral's name for it is "partial 16S ribosomal RNA". It matches the Rfam family "Archaeal small subunit ribosomal RNA", at positions 454 to 760 of the family's 1478-position model. The record is from RNAcentral.
GACAGCAGUAGCCACGGGAACACCAGCACCUCGAGUGGUCAGGAGGUUUAUUGGGCCUAAAGCAUCCGUAGCCGGUUGCAUAAGUUUUCGGUUAAAUCUAUGCGCUUAACGUAUAGGCCGCCGAAAAUACUGUGCAGCUAGGGAGUGGGAGAGGUACACGGUACUCGAUAGGAAGGGGUAAAAUCCUUUGAUCUAUUGAUGACCACCUGUGGCGAAGGCGGUGUACCAGAACACGUUCGACGGUGAGGGAUGAAAGCCGGGGGAGCAAACCGGAUUAGAUACCCCCGUAGUCCCUGUCUCUUAUAC